RNAcentral lists this long non-coding RNA (1284 nucleotides) under Equus caballus (horse). Its description in RNAcentral is "lncRNA (ENSECAG00000059491.1)". Lineage: Eukaryota; Metazoa; Chordata; Mammalia; Perissodactyla; Equidae. The record is from RNAcentral.
CCACCACAACCUGUAUGAAGUAUGACGGCCAUACUCCCAUGGGCGUACCCAGGAUUAUGCGCAAGUUGACCUUCAACUUCCACCCGGCACACGGAUCAACAUGAGUGGGAGUCAGGAUGACGGAUGACAUUCUCGCAGAAAUAACCUUGAUUCUGGUGUUUCAUUGCUUUCUAACUAAGUCACUCUCAUCUUUAGCAGUUUAUUAUCGUGAAAAAUGGCACUUCACAAACUCAUAGUGACCACACAUGAGAGGGUUGCUACACACCCCGAGCUCCUCAAGAACACAGACAGAGGCAUCUGUUGACCACAGGGCCUCACACAACCUGACGCUGUGCAGUUUAUAGACUGAAUAGCAUGAACAAAUUGGAAGAUUCACCCCAGAAAGGAAUGUUGGCAAGUAAAAUUAUUUACUCAGAGGUUGACAUCUAGGUUGCUUGUUGGGACUUUCCAAGCUAUUUGGAAGAAUUUUGGCAUCCCAACUAUGUGGCAAGAGCUGACCAGGGUGAAAAAGUUGCUUCAUGUCGCUUUUGUUUGGAGAAGUGAAAUCAGCUUGACUGAGAAAGAGCAUCCACAUUGAAUCAAGUGGGGGUUGGAGCAGGUUACACAGCGAUGGCAAACACAGAGGGAACAGCCCUUCUCGGACCUCUGCAGUGAGGUCUCAGAAACUAAUGGGUCCAGUGCUACAAGGAUCAUCAUUUUAAAAUAGAGUCAAAUGCCAUGUUUUUUUUUCCAUAUUAUGAAAGGAAUACAAGCCUCUGGUGGAAUCCUGGGAAACUAAAGAAAAGUUCAUGUUACAACUAAGGAGGCAAAGUUUGCUGAAGAUCCACGGGGGUUAUCAGUACGUCCCCCAGAGCUGGACACUCAGAAAUCUGGCUUGGAGAUGUGUGCCCACUGUUGGCGCCCAUGAAGAUGGGCGCUGGUGCCCAGCUGAACACACAGCGGCCACCUGGGGAAGGCUGAGAGCCCGGAGCAGCCUUGCCGGCCAACCCAGUCCUCCUUUUGGUUCUGGUAGGGAGGACCAAGGUAGUCCUGACUCCCAGGCAAACCGUAGCAGGGGUGGGGGCUGCUGUCAUCAUGUUCUGUGGCUUUCUUUUGCAGAACGGGGUUCUCCACUUAAAAUGAAUCCUGGAGCCUGAAAAGCUUGGCAGAAAGCUUUAUCUUAAUCAUCAAUAGAUUAUCCAGCUGCCCAAGUUUCUUGAUGAGACAUGUGACUUAUAAGGGUCGGGUAGCAGCAGCCGGGAUGCGCAGGGAGAGUAAGCUGUGGGCCGCUCUCGGCCUCCUGGG